This 366-nucleotide ribosomal RNA is filed under the name uncultured organism. RNAcentral describes it as "bacterial SSU rRNA". It matches the Rfam family "Bacterial small subunit ribosomal RNA", at positions 526 to 896 of the family's 1533-position model. The record is from RNAcentral.
CGGAGGAUCCAAGCGUUAUCCGGAAUCAUUGGGUUUAAAGGGUCCGUAGGCGGUUUAAUAAGUCAGUGGUGAAAGCCUAUCGCUCAACGAUAGAACGGCCAUUGAUACUGUUAGACUUGAAUUAGUGGGAAGUAACUAGAAUAUGUAGUGUAGCGGUGAAAUGCUUAGAUAUUACAUGGAAUACCAAUUGCGAAGGCAGGUUACUAUCACUAUAUUGACGCUGAUGGACGAAAGCGUGGGGAGCGAACAGGAUUAGAUACCCUGGUAGUCCACGCCGUAAACGAUGGAUACUAGCUGUUCGGAGCAAUCUGAGUGGCUAAGCGAAAGUGAUAAGUAUCCCACCUGGGGAGUACGUUCGCAAGAAUG